UGAGGAAUAUUGGUCAAUGGGCGAGAGCCUGAACCAGCCAAGUCGCGUGAAGGAUGAAGGUUCUAUGGAUCGUAAACUUCUUUUAUAGGGGAAUAAAGUGAGCUACGUGUAGCUUUUUGUAUGUACCCUAAGAAUAAGGAUCGGCUAACUCCGUGCCAGCAGCCGCGGUAAUACGUAGGGGGCAAGCGUUAUCCGGAUUUACUGGGUGUAAAGGGCGAGUAGACGGCGCAACAAGUCAGCUGUGAAAACUCAGGGCUUAACCCUGAGACUGCAGCUGAAACUGUAGUGCUAGAGUGCAGGAGAGGUAAGUGGAAUUCCUAGUGUAGCGGUGAAAUGCGUAGAUAUCAGGAAGAACACCAGUGGCGAAGGCGACUUACUGGACUGUAACUGACACUGAGGCUCGAAAGCUAGGGUAGCGAACG
RNAcentral lists this ribosomal RNA (422 nucleotides) under uncultured bacterium. RNAcentral's name for it is "bacterial SSU rRNA". It matches the Rfam family "Bacterial small subunit ribosomal RNA", at positions 355 to 774 of the family's 1533-position model. The record is from RNAcentral.